Molecule: non-coding RNA, 262 nt
Organism: Drosophila melanogaster (fruit fly)
Lineage: Eukaryota; Metazoa; Arthropoda; Insecta; Diptera; Drosophilidae
Source: Ensembl
UUAUGAAUAUAUUCGAGACUGCGAAUGGAAAGAGUGUCUGUGAAGGAUUUAUAAAAGCUGGAAGUCCAUUCUGCGCGUUUGCCGCUACCUGUAACUUCCAAGGCUUGAGUCUUUUGCACGUUGGACAAGAGCAGUGCAAACUGACUGAACUGGGAAAGCCUCUAUUUCUGAAAAUCAAGGCCGGAAGGUGUCCCCGGGGUAAACCCAGAUGCAGGAAAACUAGAUAAGGAAAAUAACUUUUUUAUAUUAUAAGGCAUUUUAU